CCUACGGGAGGCAGCAGUGAGGAAUAUUGGUCAAUGGACGGAAGUCUGAACCAGCCAAGUCGCGUGCAGGAAGACUGCCCUAUGAGUUGUAAACUGCUUUUGUACAAGGGUAAAACUGAAUACGUGUAUUCAGCUGCCAGUACCGUAUGAAUAAGGAUCGGCUAACUCCGUGCCAGCAGCCGCGGUAAUACGGAGGAUCCAAGCGUUAUCCGGAUUUAUUGGGUUUAAAGGGUGCGUAGGCGGAUUGUUAAGUUAGGGGUUAAAUGUCCGGGCUUAACCCGGGAUCUGCCUCUAAUACUGUUGUACUAGAGAGUAGAUGCGGUAGGCGGAA
RNAcentral lists this ribosomal RNA (331 nucleotides) under uncultured bacterium. RNAcentral's name for it is "partial 16S ribosomal RNA". It matches the Rfam family "Bacterial small subunit ribosomal RNA", at positions 338 to 666 of the family's 1533-position model. The record is from RNAcentral.